CCUACGGGGUGCAGCAGUGGGGAAUAUUGCACCAUGGGGGAAACCCUGAUGCAGCAACGCCGCGUGAGUGAAGAAGUAUUUCGGUAUGUAAAGCUCUAUCAGUAGGGAAGAAGAAAGACGGUACCUGACUAAGCAGCCCCGGCUAACUACGUGCCAGCAGCCGCGGUAAUACGUAGGUGGCAAGCGUUAUCCGGAUUUACUGGGUGUAAAGGGAGCGUAGACGGCUGUGCAAGUCUGAAGUGAAAACCACGGGCUCAACCUGUGGCCUGCAUUUGAAACUGUUUUUCUUGAGUACUGGAGAGGCAGACGGAAUUCCUAGUGUAGCGGUGAAAUGCGUAGAUAUUAGGAGGAACACCAGUGGCGAAGGCGGUCUGCUGGACAGCAACUGACGCUGAGGCGCGAAAGCGUGGGGAGCAAACAGGAUUAGAUACCCUGGUAGUC
This 441-nucleotide ribosomal RNA is filed under the name uncultured bacterium. RNAcentral describes it as "partial 16S ribosomal RNA". It matches the Rfam family "Bacterial small subunit ribosomal RNA", at positions 338 to 795 of the family's 1533-position model. The record is from RNAcentral.